GACGAACGCUGGCGGCGUGCCUCAAACAUGCAAGUCGAGCGAGGCUAUGAAUUACCGCAAGGUAAGGCAUAGCCUAGCGGCGAACGGGUGAGUAACACGUGAGCAACCUGGCUCUAAGAGGGGGACAACAGUUGGAAACGACUGCUAAUACCGCAUAACGUAUCGGGAUGGCAUCUUCCUGAUACCAAAGAUUUUANCGCUUAGAGAUGGGCUCGCGUCUGAUUAGAUAGUUGGCGGGGUAACGCCCACAAGUCGACGAUCAGUAGCCGGACUGAGAGGUUGAACGGCCACAUUGGGACUGAGACACGGCCAGACUCCUA
RNAcentral lists this ribosomal RNA (320 nucleotides) under uncultured bacterium. RNAcentral describes it as "bacterial SSU rRNA". It matches the Rfam family "Bacterial small subunit ribosomal RNA", at positions 28 to 341 of the family's 1533-position model. The record is from RNAcentral.